This 351-nucleotide ribosomal RNA is filed under the name Triticum aestivum (bread wheat). Its description in RNAcentral is "partial small subunit ribosomal RNA". The record is from RNAcentral. Lineage: Eukaryota; Viridiplantae; Streptophyta; Magnoliopsida; Poales; Poaceae.
AUGUUGCUUCUGUGGGACAACUUCAGGAAGGAGUACAAGGAGAAGCACCCCGACGUCAAGUGGGUCUCCGUGAUUGGCAAGGCCGAUGCAGGUGCUCUACUCUUGCACACGUCUGGCACCGUCUCCGGUGCGGUGGUGCUUCUUGAGGUGACUGGCAUGUUGGCGGCUUUGUACGGCGGCGACCACAAGCCCUUCGUUAAUAGUAUUUGGCUUCUACUUGAUGGUCUGGUACUAAUUUAUGGUGAUGUGGAUAUACUUUGUGAUUUAAAGUUACUAAUCUGUGGUUUGGUGUCAUAUUAUGGUCUAAUAUUUUUUGUUUUGACUCUUUCUCUGGUGCAAGGAAAGCUGUGA